AUGACAGGGAUGAGAGAGCAGUGGAGCGGAGCGUGGCAGCGCAACACACGGCGUGCAACGGCGGAGACGAGAGAGCAGCGGGCAGCGCGACACACGGCGUGCAACGGCAGAGACGAGAGCAGCGGGCAGAGCAACACAUGGCGUGCAACGGCGGAGAUGAGAGAGCAGCGGGCAGCGCGACACACGGCGUGCAACGGCGGAGAUGAGAGAGCAGCGGGCAGCGCGACACACGGCGUGCAACGGCGGAGACGAGAGCAGCGGGCAGCGCGACACACGGCGUGCAGCGGAGCAGACCACAGACGGCGUGGGUCGACCAUAGGUGACCGAGCGACUGGACACUAUACCGAGACGUCGAACUGUGGGACCCGCUCUUCAACCUCCAGCUCACCAAACAUCACAGUGGACUCCUUUGUUGAUCCUGUUUUUAAAAACAGCUGCUUAAGCCUUGCAUUUUAUAAUAUCUUAGCCUACAUGAGCAGGGGUGUAGUGGUCGGGGGACGUGGGGAACGGCGUUCCCCCAGUCUUUUUGGCGAGAUUUUUUCUUUUAUUUGUCUAAUAAAUUUUUUUUAAACAUUGCCUUUGUUAUCAUUUUCGCUAUAGUAUAGCUUCGAAUAAUGUAAUAAAACAUACUGCAAUUCACAAAUAUUAAUAAAAUAUUUAUUGUGUCACUGCAGGCGCGGUCACGGCAGGAUUUGAAGUCUGUGUGAGGUUGCAGUACCUAUAUGAGAGAGGAGAAAAGCAGCGCCGUCAACUAUUUGCAAUGCCAUACGUCUAUACUUCAAGCAUUCAUGCAAUUAUUAGGACAAUAAUUCGUCACUUUUUGUCGUUGUGUGUGUGUGUGUGUGUGUGUGUGUGGCCAGGGAUUUUGGGGCCCCAUGAAAAGAAGUAUUACUGGGCCCUUGUAUGAAAAUUUGUUAUGCUGUUUACAUAAAACUGUGCAUUUUAAUGAUAUUUUUGACUAUAAUUUCCUAUAUGUGUGAAAAGAACAACAUGACAGUUACUUGGUAGGGGAAGCACUGAACACUCAGAAUAACGGAAUUUAGAUUCAUUGUCUGCAAGUCUGCAACUUUAAUGGUUAAAAUAUAAAAUUCUCUUAAAUUAAAUUACCUGAAAAAUACAAAUGCAUGACAUACAUGAAUUAUAUAGAAUUUCCUGUAAUACCAUUUGAAAUAGCAUCAGCAUCACCAGAUUCAGGUUUCCUCCCACCAUUCUGUUUUACUGUCAGUGAUUUGAUCAAAAAUAACAAAAGCAAAUGUGAUUUUCACAACCAAUACCCCACUGCUCACUGUCUCCCUCUUGUAGCCCUGCAUUUAGGUCUAAUUUAUCUCCAAAAUUACUAUUAUAGCAAUCCCACACAAUUUCUCUUUCAAACAUGCACAUCACCCCCCACACACACUCUUAGACCAGCCACUGCACUCAAUGUAAAAACUGUAUGCUGUCUUACAUUAUGUUUUUGUUGUUUUUAUUAAGUUUGUUAUAUACGUUUAUAUUUUGUUAAAAAAAAUCUAUUAAAAAUAAUAAUUUAUCUCUAAAACUGUACGUGGUGGAAAUAGAGUUGGGGUGGAAAAAAAAUACAUAAAAAUAAAAAUAAAAAUACAUAAAUGAGGCUCUAUGGUCGUUGCGAUUGUUAACGUUUCUCUGCUUGGAUUGAGAGCAGUCACUUAGUCUGCAAGCACCAGAAAAUUUCUCCUCUUUUCCUACUGCAAAGCAAGGGGUGAGAGUCCCAAACUACUGACCAAACAUAGUAUUUUAGUGAGUUUAUAGUUCAGUUUCAGUGAUAGCUAAAUUUCAACAAAACAAAAUAAAGUUAUAGGCUAUAUGCUUUUUAAAACAUUUAAAUCAUUCUGAAAUAAAUACAGACUAUGUGUUUUUAUAUCAGAAUGAUCUUUAUUCAUUAAUUUCAAUUUAUCUUUUUUUCCAUAAUAAUAGAUUAAUUCAACACAAAGCUGCUCACCUCCUUCCUCAGUUGUGGGUAGGCCUACUGGGGCUGGUUCAGGGGUAGGGGGCUCACGGCGUUCACAGACAGCUGCGGCUGCUGCUGCUGCUGCGCUUGACGUGUCUGUUCAAACAUGCAUCAUUUUUGACAGGAGGGGUGGUCAACUGAUUAAAUAUGGGCAGCUUGCUAAACGUGAACAGUGAAAUCUAAAAAUCCAGAGUUUUCUUCCAAAAUAUGAGCUAAUAUGGGGAGAAAAGUGAGCUAGCUUAAAAACCACAAGGUUAAGAUAAACAACAGACUAAUGUGUUCCAGAACUUUCCACCACAUGAACCAAACCCACCUUGUUUUUUGAAAAACUGGGUGACAUACUGACGCCCCUUUACUUCUCUCUCCUGCCUAAUCGUUUGUCUUUCCUUUUUUGGCUACCCGACUUCUGGGGCAUUUUGCCUUCUCUCGGUCUCCUUACUGACUGAAUACACCGUACUGCGCAGCAGUUCAGUUGAUUGAUGGGAGGAAGAAAAAGGUAAGCUAUCGUAUUACUGUACUUAUUGUUACCUAUAUGCGUUCUUCAUUUAUCAGCAGUUUUGAGUCAACUGAUUUGAUGUGGGUUAAAUGUGUAUUCAAUGAAUUCAGAAUCAUUGCAGAAAAGAACUCCACCUUUAUCAUCUCUCUCUCUCUCUCUCUCUCUCUCUCUCUCUCUCUCUCAAUCACCAUAGCUUAUACCAAACACUUAAUGUAUACAGUUACAGGUCAUCUUAGUUGUUGUUUUUGGUGAGGCAGCAACACCACACACACACACACACACAAAUAAUUCAGUUUUAUAUAUAUAUUAAUUUUACGAUUACAGCAACACACUGAUACAAAGACACACACUGAACAGUUUUGCCUAUGUUUAUGUUGUGUGUGUGAGAGAGAGAGAAGGAGAGCUGUCUAAUUGCAACGAUAUAUGGCUCAAGCAUUUGCAACUUGGGUCUAUCCGGGUGACCUAAUUCAAAUAACGUGUUUUUUUUGGGGGGGGCGAGUUCCCCCAGUGAUAAAAUCCCCACUACACCACUGUACAUGAGCUCGUUGUGUGUGUAAUAAAGAGACAAUCACCAUUCUCCACUCCUAACUCCUGUGUGUUGUUGUCGUGGCCAGUGACUCCCCAGUAGAGACCUCCCUUAGCUAAUUUAUUUACUCAUAUUUGAAAACACACCCCCGUGACAUAAGUUAAUAAAUACUGUGCAGAAAAUUGCUGAUGUGAUUCAUUUCCACUGCCUUAGGAAUGCAGAUAUCCAGGGACAGGAGAGCGGGAGUGCCAGCGCUGCCACUUGGCCCUGGUUUGUCCUUAUGGAUGAGGUGUUAGGGCAGAGGCAUUCCACUGUUCCCCCGUCCUAAUUACCUCCAUCCCCGAAGAGACACCAGGGCCAAGUGGCGCUGAGGAGGAGGAGGAGCUCCUCAAUUUGAUAGAGGAUAUGCGGCUGCAGAGGGAGGCCAAGGCGAGACGCGAAAGGGAGAGCAAAGAGAGGACGGAGAGGCUGUUCUCGCUUCUAGAGCCGAUGAAUGACCGCUAAUUAUUAUUUUGUUUACUGCUAUAUUAUUUAACUUCUGAGUCCUAUUUAUUUUCAAUUAAUUGUUCUGAGGAUUUAAUUUCUUGAAUAAAAAGAUUGUUGUAACACGUUGUCUAUUCAAUUUAAUACUUACAACUUAUGUACAAUUUAUAACAGGGUUUGCAAACGGCAUCAAGUGCUAGUCAGGGAAAACAAGAGAUUGAAUUUUUGCUUUUAUUAUCAGAAUGACACAUUAUGGCUGAGCAGGAGUCCCUGCAGUGCUGCUGGGCUGGAUGGUGUCAGUGGGACAUCAUCUGGGGCGGUACUCAGGAUGUUUGGGGUUCCAGUCUCCUCUGUCCACCACAUUGUCCAUCAACUGGGUCUGCAGGGCUGACUUGGCCUACGGCUGCCAUGUCACUAAGAAUUUUUAAGAAGGAGGCAAGAAUUAUAAUUUCGCAAUAUCAUUAGAAUAAUAAAUCAUAACAGACAAAACUAUCUACCAAACACUUUAAUUAGGAAUAAUGCCUUUAGAAUUAUGUUACGUACCGACUACAGAUAGUCGUGGAGGCGCCACUGGCGGCCUCCAACCAGUGUUGCCAGAUUGGGUGGUUUUCCGCCCAAUUGGGCUACUUUUCUUUAUGCCAGGCGGGAAAAAAAUACAUUGGGCGGGUGAAUAAAAUUUGGGCUGCUUUUGUCCACAUUUGGCGAGUUUUUAAUAUUUGUGAA
RNAcentral lists this long non-coding RNA (4191 nucleotides) under Sparus aurata (gilthead seabream). RNAcentral's name for it is "lncRNA (ENSSAUG00010023462.1)". Lineage: Eukaryota; Metazoa; Chordata; Actinopteri; Spariformes; Sparidae. The record is from RNAcentral.